GACGAACGCUGGCGGCGCGCCUAACACAUGCAAGUCGAACGGAGAUACCAGAGGAGCUUGCUCCACCGGUAUCUUAGUGGCGGACGGGUGAGUAACACGUGAGCAACCUGCCUUUCAGAGAGGGAUAACGUUUGGAAACGAACGCUAAUACCACAUAACAUCACGAUACGGCAUCGUAUUGUGAUCAAAGGAGCAAUCCGCUGAGAGAUGGGCUCGCGUCCGAUUAGAUAGUUGGUGGGGUAACGGCUCACCAAGUCGACGAUCGGUAGCCGGACUGAGAGGUUGAACGGCCACAUUGGGACUGAGACACGGCCCAGACUCCUACGGGAGGCAGCAGUGGGGAAUAUUGCACAAUGGGGGAAACCCUGAUGCAGCGACGCCGCGUGAGGGAAGAAGGUUUUCGGAUUGUAAACCUCUGUCUUUGGUGACGAUAAUGACGGUAGCCAAAGAGGAAGCU
RNAcentral lists this ribosomal RNA (457 nucleotides) under uncultured bacterium. RNAcentral's name for it is "bacterial SSU rRNA". It matches the Rfam family "Bacterial small subunit ribosomal RNA", at positions 28 to 492 of the family's 1533-position model. The record is from RNAcentral.